GACAUCUUAAUUGUCUCUUAUUCACCCAUAUCACCUGCCCAUCUCCUUCCAGCACUCACCUGCCCUGCUUAUAACAGCAAAUCGGGCAGCCCUGUGUGUGUUUGACCUGCCUGGACUUCGUUUGUUAUCACAAAGGAAAACAAGCUCCUUUUUAUGGGUCAUUUCUUUGUUUUGCUCAGAAAAGGGUUACCCCGGGCCAGAGUCGAGGUCACAAAAUUUAUAUGGAGAGGGAGAGAGAGGAGGCAGGACGGGCUGUGACCGGAUUCUUUAGAGAGUCGGGGCCAGGAUGGAUCGGACAAGAAUUUGCAUUUGUGUGGGGUGAGCGGUGCCAUCCCCUCUCUCGGCCUGGGGGGUGAGGUAUGCUGGCAGAACCCUGACACCCCAGCAUCUUAGAGAAGCUGCUUCUCUUGGGCGCACUCUCUGUCCUUCGCUUCCUUCAGCAAUCGCGAUUUUUAUUUAGAAAGCUGAGUGCCUGCAAGAGCCAGUGCUGAGAUUGGAGGCAGCUGAACGGCCACAGAAUUCUGAUCCUUUUCAAGACGGAAUGAGCCACAGAGGAGAAACACUGGGUAGAAACCUCAACGGGUGAUAUUUUAAGGCCCCCUGCUUGUGACCUGGGCCAUCUUCCUGGAAGCUGAGGAGCCUGUCCUCAAAGGCUUGUAACCGCUGGCCUAAAGACUGAAUGCCUGCCUUGUUCUCCACCAAAGCCACUGCUAGAAAUUGGUGAACCAAGCAGAAAAUUCCAGGGCAUAGACUAUUGCAGGGGCUCCCGUUUGGAAGACUCUGCUCACACAGCUGGACAGAGUGAGCCAGGCCGGGAGGCAUCAUGUUCACGGUUCCAGCCCUGGUGUUACUGAGCUCCCACAGCUGGGCCCUGCGGAGGGGCUGGAGGGGACUGUGGGAGAGAGACCCCAGCACAGGCGAAAAGGAGGCCCCUGGCUGGCACUGGCCUGGCCCCUGCACCUCCAACAGAGCUGUUCUUGCCAAACUCCAAGCCCCCUCCCCAGGAGGCGUCCUGGUCUCGGCGAUAAUGGCAUGACCAUGGCUU
Molecule: non-coding RNA, 1045 nt
Organism: Sus scrofa (pig)
Lineage: Eukaryota; Metazoa; Chordata; Mammalia; Artiodactyla; Suidae
Source: RefSeq, a predicted model, not a curated record